Long non-coding RNA from Triticum dicoccoides, 554 nucleotides. RefSeq lists it as uncharacterized. The transcript has 5 exons. Lineage: Eukaryota; Viridiplantae; Streptophyta; Magnoliopsida; Poales; Poaceae. The record is from RefSeq and is a predicted model, not a curated record.
CGGCGCGGAUGGAGCAGCAAAUCCAUCCCUCGCCCCCUUUGAUUCUGAUCCCUGCAGUCCGCAACGGGCAUCAGGCAUCGAUGCAAUCUCCAAGCCACAGCCCACAGAUUCAGGGACAUGGUUUUCUUUUCGUACUGUCCAGCAGGCUGCAGUACAAAGGUACAAGACUAAUUAAGGGUGAAGACAUCAUCACUCAUUUUCAAAGCAUCGGGAAUCACUUAUUUUGGAACGGAGGGAGUAAUUUGAGUCUUGGUUUUGGUGGUGGUGAAUCGUGAUCUGGCCUUGCCGGAGAUUUGUAGAUUGAACCGGACAGGAACAAAGAGACGCCGAGCAAAGCCUAAAAGCGGAAAUGAGAAUAUAAUUGAGGAGAGCAAUGUUACCACCAAUAUUGGUCAUGAUGCCAUUGGCUGCAAGAGACCAAAAAGAGAAGUUGCCCGUUCGAAUUUCAGUGAGAAGGCAUUUGAAUUAUCUGAAGAAGAUUCACUUGUCACACCCAAGAAAAUCAGAAUUGAGGAGGAAACGGAGGCAGUUAUGUUGACAAGAACAGGAAUCAA